This 492-nucleotide ribosomal RNA is filed under the name uncultured bacterium. RNAcentral describes it as "partial 16S ribosomal RNA". It matches the Rfam family "Bacterial small subunit ribosomal RNA", at positions 29 to 507 of the family's 1533-position model. The record is from RNAcentral.
AGUGAACGCUGGCGGUAGGCCUAACACAUGCAAGUCGAACGGCAGCACAGUAAGAGCUUGCUCUUACGGGUGGCGAGUGGCGGACGGGUGAGGAAUACAUCGGAAUCUACUUUUUCGUGGGGGAUAACGUAGGGAAACUUACGCUAAUACCGCAUACGACCUACGGGUGAAAGCAGGGGAUCUUCGGACCUUGCGCGAUUGAAUGAGCCGAUGUCGGAUUAGCUAGUUGGCGGGGUAAAGGCCCACCAAGGCGACGAUCCGUAGCUGGUCUGAGAGGAUGAUCAGCCACACUGGAACUGAGACACGGUCCGGACUCCUACGGGAGGCAGCAGUGGGGAAUAUUGGACAAUGGGCGCAAGCCUGAUCCGGCCAUACCGCGUGGGUGAAGAAGGCCUUCGGGUUGUAAAGCCCUUUUGUUGGGAAAGAAAAGCAGCAGGUUAAUACCCCGCUGUUCUGACGGUACCCAAGGAAUAAGCACCGGCUAACUUCGUG